Molecule: long non-coding RNA, 319 nt
Filed under: Elaeis guineensis (African oil palm)
Lineage: Eukaryota; Viridiplantae; Streptophyta; Magnoliopsida; Arecales; Arecaceae
Description: long non-coding RNA (EGUI_LNC028139)
Source: RNAcentral
UCAAAUCUUGAGGAAUGAAGAAGAACAGUGUUCUGAUUGAGCUUCAGAGAUGCAAUAAAGAAGAAAAAAAUACAAGUACACUAUUCUUCAAGUAAAGGAAUAGUAUUUUGAUAGAGCUUCAGAGAUGCAAUAGAGAGAAAAUCGAGUACAUUGUUCUUCAAGCAGAUGAUAAUAUGUAGUAGAGAAAAAUAUUAAGUAGAUAACAUGGGCUCUGAUACUAUGUAAACUAUAAAGAAAAAUUGAGAGGAAAGAAAGUGUCAUUUUGUAUUCUUGUACUGAUGAUAUAUACACACACACACACACACACACAUAGAUAGAU